Molecule: ribosomal RNA, 492 nt
Filed under: uncultured bacterium
Lineage: Bacteria
Description: partial 16S ribosomal RNA
Rfam family: Bacterial small subunit ribosomal RNA
Source: RNAcentral
AGUGAACGCUGGCGGUAGGCCUAACACAUGCAAGUCGAACGGCAGCACAGUAAGAGCUUGCUCUUACGGGUGGCGAGUGGCGGACGGGUGAGGAAUACAUCGCAAUCUACUUUUUCGUGGGGGAUAACGUAGGGACACUUACGCUAAUACCGCAUACGACCUACGGGUGAAAGCAGGGGAUCUUCGGACCUUGCGCGAUUGAAUGAGCCGAUGUCGGAUUAGCUAGUUGGCGGGGUAAAGGCCCACCAAGGCGACGAUCCGUAGCUGGUCUGAGAGGAUGAUCAGCCACACUGGAACUGAGACACGGUCCAGACUCCUACGGGAGGCAGCAGUGGGGAAUAUUGGACAAUGGGCGAAAGCCUGAUCCAGCCAUACCGCGUGGGUGAAGAAGGUCUUCGGGUUGUAAAGCCCUUUUAUUGGGGAAGAAAAGCAGUAGGUUAAUACCUCGCUGUUCUGACGGUACCAAAAGAAUAAGCACCGGCUAACUUCGUG